RNAcentral lists this long non-coding RNA (2899 nucleotides) under Sus scrofa (pig). Its description in RNAcentral is "lncRNA (ENSSSCG00055010190.1)". The record is from RNAcentral. Lineage: Eukaryota; Metazoa; Chordata; Mammalia; Artiodactyla; Suidae.
GGGUCGAAUCGGAGCUGUGGCCGCUGGCCUGCACCACAGCCACAGCAACUUGGGAUCCAAGCUGAGUCUUCGACCUACACCACAGCUCAUGGCAAUGCCAGAUCCUUAACCCACUGAGCGAGGCCAGGGAUCAAACCUGAACCUCAUGGUCCCUAGUCGGAUUUGUUAACCACUGAGCCAUGACGGGAACUCCUUCAGAUUCUUUUAACAGUACAUAUUCAGGCAGUCUUCAUACCCAGUCUUCAUGUGGAACAUAUGCUGAGUACUCAGGAUUCAUAGGUAAUAAAUACAUGAAAGAUAAUGUAAUGGGCAUAGAGACCAUAUAAAUAAAUAGAGGCAACUUGUCUGCUUUAAAACUUCCUCUCUUUCCCAAUACCUUUUCUUUUUCUGUGGGGAGGAGGACGGGGAGGGGGUGGUUGACUUGAAUAUUCUCUUAUUCCCUCUGGCUCUGACCUUCUGCUUCUGUCAAGAGGGUUCAGAUUAUGGAUCCUUUCAUUGUCUGUUUUCCACCCGAUCAUCGAGAUGUGAACUCAACCCUACUUAUGUAAAGCAGAGUUAAUCCAAGAUUUUCUGACCAUGGGAGGAGAUAGGUUAUGUGGUAAUAGAGCAGUGCAAAUCUCACCAUGUAGUUUUUCUGAGCAACUAGUUUUCUUAGGUUAAAAUACAAAGUCAUUAAUAAUGACUUAGAGAUGAGGCCUGGCAUGAUCUGGCCUGUGGGUUUGCAAACUUCGUCUCAUGCUACUCUCCCUUUUGAUCACAUCACUCCAGGCUAGGGGUCUAAUCGGAGCGGUAGCCGCCGGCCUACGCCAGAGCCACAGCAACGCGGGAUCCAAGCCGCGUCUGCAACCUACACCACAGCUCACGGCAACACUGGAUCCUUAACCCACUGAGCAAGGCCAGGGAUUGAACCUGCAACCUAAUGGUUCCUAGUCGGAUUCGUUAACCACUGAGCCAUGACAGGAACUCCUGUCUAAGAUUUUCUUAUUUGUGUUAUUUUCUGUUUCCCUUAUUCUGAAAACAAGGAAUGUUUACAUUGUACUCAUCCCUUUAGACUCGGUUUACUUCAUUCCUAACAGUUUUAAAUAGUCAUUAAGUCUGCUUGAAUGGGUGCAUGUGGGGCCCAGCAGGACUUGAUGGAUUAGCCGUAGACUGGGGAACAAGUGUCAAGGAUGGUACUCAGGUUUCAGGCUUGUGCACAUGGAUAGGUCCUGGAGGUGCUGACUGGGUGGGAGAGCAGGUUUGUGGGGACAGACCUAAGUGACGUUGCAGGUCUGGGUCCAUGCAUUGAGCAGGCUCUUAGGUGUGUUAGGGUUCACAGAAGCCAUUGGAGAUGUGAUUCUGAUGCCUUCUCAUUCACCAUCUGUAAAACUUCAUUUUCUACUUGUUGAAGGUAUGAUAUGUUUAGAAAAAAUAAUUUAUAUUUGCAUAUUUUGGAUUGCCAACUUGUCUUCUUCAAUCAGUUUUCUAGGCCUUUGGGAUUGUACCCACAUUCAGUUUUUAAAGUUUGUUAUUAAACACAACUUCCUUAAUAUAAUAAAACCAUUUUGCUUAUCUCAGUGCAUUUUUUUCAUUAAUAAGUGACUCAUUCAGUUUGCCUGUUGAACUGUAUGCGUACUUAAGAAAAUUAAAAGUGAUCUUUAUCCUUUUUUUUGUUUGUGUUGAAAACAAUUUUUGUUGCUAUUUCGAAUCCAAGUUCUAUUUCUUAGCGUACACAUUCAAACAAAUUUAAUGAACUUUGACCACUUAGUUUUUGGUGAAUACCAAAAUCUUGAGGAAUGUAACCCUUCUUCAUAGAAUAGAUUUCAUGUGAUCAGAAAGCAUUCACUGAGCAUUAGUGGGAUCCCUAUUAAGUGAAAGGCACCAAGUUAGGGACUAGAAGUUGCAGCAAUCUCAAUCAAAUGCAUGGAGCUAGGAGUUCCCAUUGUGGCUCAGUGGGUUAAGGACCCACCGUUGUCUGUGUGAGGAUGCAUGUUUGAUCCCUGGCCUUAUUCAGUCAGUGGGUUAAGGAUCUGGCAUUGCCACAAGCUGUGGUGUAGGUCGCAGGUGCAUCUCGGAUCCGGUGUUGCCAUGGCUGUGGUGUAGGCCAAAGCUGCAGCUCCAGUUAAACCCCUGGCCCAGAACUUCCUUAUGCUGCAGGUGUGGCCAUAAAAGGAGAAAAAAAAUGCAAAGAGCUGGAUCAGAAUUCUGACUUCUCUCUGAAAUCACUUCAAGAAAGAGAAAUAGAAACAAACAUUUUCUCAAAUAAAGCUGUCUUCUGCUAGAACCAUGGUAUAUAAAAACGGCUGCCAAAUGCAGUGAUGAAACAGGGAUUUGGGUACGAUACCAAGAGACGUGACUGUAGACCUCAGAUGCAAGUGCGAGACCUCUCUUUGCCGCUGCUGAGUGGCAAAAUUAACAAUCACCUUUUUUUUUGUCUUUUUGCCAUUUCUUGGGCUGCUCCUGUGGCACAUGGAGGUUCCCAGGCUAGAGGUUGAAUCGGAGCUGUAGCUGCCAGCCUAUACCACAGCCACAGCAACGCGGGAUCCGAGCCGCAUCUGCAGCCUAUACCACAGCUCACGGCAACACCGGAUCCUUAACCCACUGAGCAAGGGCAGGGACCGAACCCGCAACCUCAUGGUUCCUAGUCGGAUUCGUUAACCACGCGCCACGAUGGUUAACCACUCCCAACAAUCACUUUUGAAGAACUUGAAUGGAGAGCUUGGGUUGGUGGUCAGAGCUUCCCUGGAUCCCGCUUUACUCCAGAGAGUAGCAGAGGAAGCAGGACUGAGUAGAGAACCACAGACACAAUUUCCAUCUCUGUGGGAGUCAUCUGCCACUGCGACAAACCUGUGGGAAAUACUUGAAUGUAUGGUCUGAAAGGGUGCACUCUGUACCAGAAAAAAAAAAAAAAAAAAAAAAA